CGCGCAAAUUACCCACUCCCGGCACGGGGAGGUAGUGACGAAAAAUAACGAUACGGGACUCAUCCGAGGCCCCGUAAUCGGAAUGAGUACACUUUAAACCCUUUAACGAGUAUCCAUUGGAGGGCAAGUCUGGUGCCAGCAGCCGCGGUAAUUCCAGCUCCAAUAGCGUAUAUUAAAGUUGUUGCGGUUAAAAAGCUCGUAGUUGGAUUUGUGUCCCACGCUGUCGGUUCACCGUUCGUCGGUGUUUAACUGGCAUGCCCGUGCGGACGUCCUGCCGGUGGAUGCGGUCGGCCGUAGGCCUCUGGUCUGCGCGUCGGCGGUCCGAUGCAAUCCUACCGCGGUGCUCUUCAUCGAGUGUCGAGGUGGGCCGGCACGUUUACUUUGAACAAAUUAGAGUGCUCAAAGCAGGCAGUGGUUCGCCUGAAUAUUGUGUGCAUGGAAUAAUGGAAUAGGACCUCGGUUCUAUUUUGUUGGUUUUCGGAACUUGAGGUAAUGAUUAAUAGGGACAGACGGGGGCAUUCGUAUUGCGACGUUAGAGGUGAAAUUCUUGGAUCGUCGCAAGACGAACCUAAGCGAAAGCAUUUGCCAUGAGUGUUUUCACUAAUCAAGAACGAAAGUUAGAGGUUCGAAGGCGAUCAGAUACCGCCCUAGUUCUAACCAUAAACGAUGCCAGCUAGCGAUCCGCCGAAGUUCCUCCGAUGACUCGGCGGGCAGCUUCCGGGAAACCAAAGCUUUUGGGUUCCGGGGGAAGUAUGGUUGCAAAGCUGAAACUUAAAGGAAUUGACGGAAGGGCACCACCAGGAGUGGAGCCUGCGGCUUAAUUUGACUCAACACGGGAAACCUCACCAGGCCCGGACACCGGAAGGAUUGACAGAUUGAGAGCUCUUUCUUGAUUCGGUGGGUGGUGGUGCAUGGCCGUUCUUAGUUGGUGGAGCGAU
RNAcentral lists this ribosomal RNA (938 nucleotides) under Phaenopharos struthioneus. RNAcentral describes it as "SSU rRNA". It matches the Rfam family "Eukaryotic small subunit ribosomal RNA", at positions 433 to 1310 of the family's 1831-position model. Lineage: Eukaryota; Metazoa; Arthropoda; Insecta; Phasmatodea; Lonchodidae. The record is from RNAcentral.